AGAUAACCCAAGGCUUCUGCAGGAUCCUGGAACAUAAGGUAGGCUGGACAGGAAGGGUGUCACCUUCUGUAAAUUUACUAUUGUUUAGGAGAAUUCAGAGCAGAAGAAAGCAAGCCAUCAAAGGAACCGACGAGGACUAUUUCCCCCCACCUUGUUCUGAGGGUUUAAAUUACUCUGGUAUUUUAAAUGAGCUGCUUUUGAAAAAUAGGUUACUGCCAUUUAGUUGAUGACGGAAACAGAAGCCAAGAAGAGUGCAAAUUGUAAACUGACGUGCAUAAGCCAAACGUAUUCUCUCAAAUGACAACGUUCAAGACGCAGCUAAAGUCCCCACUCGGGCGGUAAGCGUGUUACAAAGAACUAGAUCUCUUUCUGGCAUCCGCAACUUGGCCGGAGUGACCACGGAGGAGUUGGAAGAGCGCUGGAAACGCUAGGUUCCUCGCCGGUGCGUUGGCAGAAAACAGUCCGGGCCAUGAGGCCCCGGUGGAAAGUAAAAGGAGGUUCGAGGCGGGUGGCGUUCGCCGCGAGAGAGAGGCGAAGUUAAGCACGGGAAGGAAAGGAGCUGCGAGACUGUGAGGGGAGCCCAGGACGGGGAGGGAGGGGGCUGGAGAGCCGCGCGCGGCGGGUGGGGAGGAAACGCGGCUGGCGAGGCUCCCGGGGGGAGUGGGGAACAGGAGGGGGGGGUCUCCAGGGGAACGUAACCCGGGUACGGAGCGCGUCUCGGAGGGAGAGGAACGGACACGAGCGAGAGCGCCGCGCCGCAAGUCCGGUCCACGCACCCCUCUCCGCGCCCCGCGUACCCAUCCCAGGUGCCGGGCGCGCCCGGGGCGCAGCGGCGCGGAAGCGAGAAAACUAGCAGCGCCGUACCGCCCGGCGAGGAGGAGGUCCCCGGCCGCCCCCGCCCGCGUCCCCGGGGCCCCGCGCGGAGGGGAGGACCCGGGCAGGGUCCGGCGCUCACCAGGUCACCUGAGGGCUGCGGCCUUGGGUCAGGUUCUUGGCUCCCAGUCACUCAUUCCAAGGCUGUCACAGUCCACGCAUGGGCACUUGGAAACCACAUUUCUAGGUACUGAGGAUGUCUUGGGAUCUGUCUUGAGGUCACUGUCUCAACAAUUCCUGUGGAAUCCUGGGGGGAUGACCCUGUUAUGGGUUGAAUUGUGUUCUCUAAAAGGAUAUGAUGGGAGUCCUAACCCCUGGUACCUGCGCAUAUGACCUUAUUUGCAAAUAGGGCCUUCGCAGAUGUAAUCAAGUGAAGCUGAGAUCGUUGGGUGGGCCCUCAUCCAACAUGACCAGUGACCUUACAAGAAGAUGGAAAUUUGCUCAUAGACAUGCACCGAGGGGUGACAAUGUGAAGACACAGAAGGAAGAAGGCCAUACGAAGACAGAAGCAGAGAUUGGAGCCACGCACGAGGCCACAAGCCAAGGAACGCCCGGGGCUACCAGAAGUGGGAAGAGACAAGGAAGCAUCCUUGUCUAGUGGCUUCAGAGGGAGCGUGACUUUGCCUGUGCCUUGAUUUUCGACUUCUACCUUCUAGAACUGUGAAACAACAAACUUCUAUUGCUUCGAGCCACCCAGUUUGGGGCACUUUGUUCGAGCAGCCUUCGAAAACGAAUAUCAACUUCGGUGUCUGCUCAGGACAGAAUGGCGACCACGGAGAAUUCUGGACGGGGCGGAGGAAGAGAUUGCUCCCUUCUGUACUUUGAGCGGCAGCAAAGGGCUAUGACCAUUGCCCUCCUGGAUGCAGAAGGAGGCACUGGCCUCAUUAUAUGCACACACCAUGACUGCUGUCUUAAACUCCAAUACUGCUGAACAAUUCAGAAAUAGAUCCAUUAUAGGUCUGCUUUAGCCCCAGGGCUUUAACACGGGUCACUAGAAAAUCCAAGAUUGCACAGUAAUUCAAACUCUUAAGAGGGAAAGGAAAAAAAAAAAAUUCUCUUCAGCACUCCCGCCCGCCCAGAGUCCCUCCCUCCAGCAUCACAGGGAGCCCCUCUUCAUUUCCGUAGUGCUUUAGAAUAAAUAGCUCUUAUGUUGAACUUGAAAUCUAAAUUUUUUUGCCAGCUAUUAAUUGAUAAGAGAAGCUUGUUUUACCUCUCAUGCUCUGUAGUAAGAUUACGGUGUAAAUAAACUGGGUCAGGUUUAGCAGGA
Long non-coding RNA from Felis catus (domestic cat), 2140 nucleotides. RefSeq lists it as uncharacterized. The record is from RefSeq and is a predicted model, not a curated record. NCBI's taxonomy places the organism in Eukaryota, Metazoa, Chordata, Mammalia, Carnivora, Felidae. The transcript has 5 exons.